This 492-nucleotide ribosomal RNA is filed under the name uncultured bacterium. Its description in RNAcentral is "partial 16S ribosomal RNA". It matches the Rfam family "Bacterial small subunit ribosomal RNA", at positions 29 to 507 of the family's 1533-position model. The record is from RNAcentral.
AGUGAACGCUGGCGGUAGGCCUAUCACAUGCAAGUCGAACGGCAGCACAGUAAGAGCUUGCUCUUACGGGUGGCGAGUGGCGGACGGGUGAGGAAUACAUCGGAAUCUACUUUUUCGUGGGGGAUAACGUAGGGAAACUUACGCUAAUACCGCAUACGACCUACGGGUGAAAGCAGGGGAUCUUCGGACCUUGCGCGAUUGAAUGAGCCGAUGUCGGAUUAGCUAGUUGGCGGGGUAAAGGCCCACCAAGGCGACGAUCCGUAGCUGGUCUGAGAGGAUGAUCGGCCACACUGGAACUGAGACACGGUCCAGACUCCUACGGGAGGCAGCAGUGGGGAAUAUUGGACAAUGGGCGCAAGCCUGAUCCAGCCAUACCGCGUGGGUGAAGAAGGCCUUCGGGUUGUAAAGCCCUUUUGUUGGGAAAGAAAAGCAGCAGGUUAAUACCCCGCUGUUCUGACGGUACCCAAAGAAUAAGCACCGGCUAACUUCGUG